CUGGGCGUAAAGCGCGCGCAGGCGGCUAUUUAAGUUGGAUGUGAAAGCCUACGGCUCAACCGUAGAACUGCAUCCAAAACUAUUUAGCUAGAGUGUGGGAGAGGAAGAUGGAAUUAGUUGUGUAGGGGUAAAAUCCGUAGAGAUAACUAGGAAUACCAAAAGCGAAGGCAAUCUUCUGGAACACUACUGACGCUGAGGCGCGAAAGCGUGGGGAGCAAACGGGAUUAGAUACCCCGGUAGUCCACGCAGUAAACGAUGAAUGUUAGUCGUCGGGGGCCUAGUGUCUUCGGUGAUGCAGCUAACGCAUUAAACAUUCCGCCUGGGGAGUACGGUCGCAAGAUUAAAACUCAAAGGAAUAGACGGGGACCCGCACAAGUGGUGGAGCAUGUGGUUUAAUUCGAAGAUACGCGAAGAACCUUACCUAGCCUUGACAUAUUUUAGAACACACCAGAGAUGGAGUGGUGCCUUCGGGAGCUAAUUUACAGGUGCUGCACGGCUGUCGUCAGCUCGUGUCGUGAGAUGUUGGGUUAAGUCCCGCAACGAGCGCAACCCUCGUCACUAGUUACUAACGGUUCGGCCGAGGACUCUAGUGAGACUGCCUUCGUAAGGAGGAGGAAGGUGAGGACGACGUCAAGUCAUCAUGGCCCUUACGGCUAGGGCAACACACGUGCUACAAUGGUUGGGACAAUGAGACGCAAUACCGCGAGGUGGAGCAAAUCUAUAAACCCAAUCUCAGUUCGGAUUGUUCUCUGCAACUCGAGAACAUGAAGCUGGAAUCACUAGUAAUCGUAGAUCAGCUAUGCUACGGUGAAUACG
RNAcentral lists this ribosomal RNA (816 nucleotides) under uncultured Campylobacterota bacterium. RNAcentral describes it as "bacterial SSU rRNA". It matches the Rfam family "Bacterial small subunit ribosomal RNA", at positions 554 to 1370 of the family's 1533-position model. The record is from RNAcentral. Lineage: Bacteria; Pseudomonadati; Campylobacterota.